UUUUUACAGCCACUCCCCUCUCGCAUUACCGCCUGAGCUCCGCUUCCUGUCGGGUCAGCAGCGGCAUUAGCGUCUCAUAGGAGCAUGAACCCUACUGUGAACUGCGCAUGCGAGGGAUCUAGGCUGCGCGCUCCUUAUGAGAAUCUAACGCCUGAUGACCUAUCACUGUCUCCCAUCACUCCCAGAUGGGACCGUCUAGUUGCAGGAAAACAAGCUCAGGGCUCCCACUGAUUCUACAUUAUGAUCAACUGCAUGGGGUCCUACAGGAGAAGACCAAGAGACAGAGACAGAGACCAGGGAAAAUGACCGAUACCAUUCCUUCUCAGGGAUGCUACACACCCAUGGGGCAGAGGAUAAGAGGUUCCUGAAGGCAUCACCCCUCUGGCCAUGGCUGGUGUGCAGACAAAGCUGGAGAUUUGGAGUAGCCUGUUGUCCCACUGACUCUUAGACUGCCCCAGCUAAGAAGAACCAACUCCUCCUAUUACAGAUGAAAUAAACAAAGCUACUCAAGCUCUCUGGCAUCGCCCUGACGGUCAUCAUGUGCUUCACAUUUCCCUCCUGCCCCCCCUGAUUUUCUGGAAAAGGGAGAAAGUGUGUGAAAAAAAAUGGACAAUAACUUCUGUUAACUUUGUAGAUGUCUGGUUCCUCCAUAUGAGGCUGUGCUUGAAUCAAUUUUGGAGAGAGGGUUUCUAAAGUCUCUCUAGAUUCUAUUAAUUUUGAUAGAGACAAUAAAAGGCAGCAGGACCAACUCUGUGUGGUGGGAGAUCUAGCAACCAUUAUAGUCACAAUAGCCACCACUUACUGAACACCCACCAUGUGACAAAGAACAAAUGUGCAUGAAUUAUGUCACAUUUUUCACAAGCACCCCUUGAGUUGGGAGUUCACUCAUGAGGCAACUGAGGUUCAGGGAGAUGAAGUAACUCACCCUGUAGGUAGGAGGGCUGAGAUCUGGACGUAGAUCUUUCCUCCAAAGCUUUGUCUUUUUUUUUCUACUAUAGCACACCAAAGAGAGUUCUAGAAAAAAUGAGAAUAAGAAAUUUACCUGUAAUCCUUGCUCAAGAAACUGAAGCUCUGAGGCCACAUUGUUCCAGCCUUUUGCAGCUCCUGCAUGUGGAUACCAGCACCAGCAGCUCCCCGACCAGGGGCCCCAGCUAAGCCCUCCCAGAGGAUGAUCUUGGCUUUGUACAUGGGGUGUCAAUAUCCUGUGAGUCCAACAGAGGGAAGACAUAAGAAUAUGGUCACCCAGGUAACAGACAUUUGUCUUAAUGUAUUCACUGUGUCAUCAGAAGCCACUUCUUAUCCAUCCUUGUGAAUACUUGAUGAAUGAGGAGUCAAUGAUUAAAUGAAGGAAAGAAAAGAGACUGAAAAGGAGGUAUGAGAAUGGGAAAGACGAGUGGAAAGACGAGAUAGAUAUUGCCCUAAAGACACAGUAAGCCAUCAAAUAUCUGUUUUCUAGUCCCCUUCUGGGCCCUCUUGGAUUUUGAAAAAGGGAGGAAGAAAUUGGAAAAAUUACCAAUAACUUCUAUUGACUUUGUAGAUUCCUAGUUUCCCCACAUGUGGCUAUGCUUGAAUCAACUUGUAAAAGUCUCUUUAUAGUCUGUUGAUGUUCAUGCAGGCACUAAAAGGCCACGGUCGGCCUACUUAGAUGAUCCACUCCACCCUGGGCUCCGGAAGAUGUUCCAGGGCAUUUGCCUUUACUUGACCCUAUGCUGAGAAGCUACCAAUAUUUUUCUUUCCCCAAAUUGGUUUUAUUUGUACCCUUUAUAUAUUAAAUAUUAGAGUAUUGGCCA
RNAcentral lists this long non-coding RNA (1790 nucleotides) under Homo sapiens (human). RNAcentral's name for it is "HSALNT0343563". The record is from RNAcentral. Lineage: Eukaryota; Metazoa; Chordata; Mammalia; Primates; Hominidae.